AACACUGUUAACCUGCGGUACCUGCGAGGGAUCAUUAUCGAGUGUAACCUACCCCGUAAAAAAGGGUGGUACCUCCCGUCCUUUGCAGGCCCCCCUUUUGAUGGGGGGCUUUUUAAGACUUUCUGCUUCGGCGGGGUUACUCCCGCCGGAACACCCUCAAAAAACUCUUGAUCAAAAACCGUUCAGUCCGAGAAUUUUUGAAAAUUAAAAAAAAAACUUUUAACAACGGAUCUCAGAUCG
RNAcentral lists this unclassified non-coding RNA (240 nucleotides) under soil metagenome. RNAcentral's name for it is "partial contains 5.8S ribosomal RNA, internal transcribed spacer 2, and large subunit ribosomal RNA". The record is from RNAcentral.